AGCAGGGUGGCGCAGGGGAAGCGCGCCGGGCUCAUAACCCGGAGGACCGUGGAUCGAAACCACGCUCUGCUA
Molecule: transfer RNA, 72 nt
Filed under: Penaeus monodon (black tiger shrimp)
Lineage: Eukaryota; Metazoa; Arthropoda; Malacostraca; Decapoda; Penaeidae
Description: tRNA-Met
Rfam family: tRNA
About the family: Transfer RNA (tRNA) molecules are approximately 80 nucleotides in length. Their secondary structure includes four short double-helical elements and three loops (D, anti-codon, and T loops).
Source: RNAcentral